Acanthosepion pharaonis is the source of this 96-nucleotide non-coding RNA. Lineage: Eukaryota; Metazoa; Mollusca; Cephalopoda; Sepiida; Sepiidae. The record is from the annotation of a GenBank genome assembly.
UGAAACGGCGGUUCCCGUAUAAUGACUGAAGUUAAGCAAUCUCGAGCCUGGUCAGUACUUAGAUAGGUGAACACUUCGGAAUACCAAGUGCUGUAA